CCUACGGGAGGCAGCAGUAGGGAAUCUUGCGCAAUGGGCGAAAGCCUGACGCAGCCAUGCCGCGUGAAUGAUGAAGGUCUUAGGAUUGUAAAAUUCUUUCACCGGGGAAGAUAAUGACGGUACCCGGAGAAGAAGCCCCGGCUAACUUCGUGCCAGCAGCCGCGGUAAUACGAAGGGGGCUAGCGUUGCUCGGAAUUACUGGGCGUAAAGGGCGCGUAGGCGGAUAGUUUAGUCAGAGGUGAAAGCCCAGGGCUCAACCUUGGAAUUGCCUUUGAUACUGGCUAUCUUGAGUUCGGGAGAGGUGAGUGGAAUGCCGAGUGUAGAGGUGAAAUUCGUAGAUAUUCGGCGGAACACCAGUGGCGAAGGCGACUCACUGGCCCGAUACUGACGCUGAGGCGCGAAAGCGUGGGGAGCAAACAGGAUUAGAUACCCUGGUAGUCCACGCUGUAAACGAUGAGUGCUAGUUGUCGGCAUGCAUGCAUGUCGGUGACGCAGCUAACGCAUUAAGCACUCCGCCUGGGGAGUACGGUCGCAAGNUUAAAACUUAAAGGAAUUGACGG
RNAcentral lists this ribosomal RNA (560 nucleotides) under uncultured bacterium. Its description in RNAcentral is "bacterial SSU rRNA". It matches the Rfam family "Bacterial small subunit ribosomal RNA", at positions 338 to 916 of the family's 1533-position model. The record is from RNAcentral.